This is a long non-coding RNA of Elaeis guineensis (African oil palm), 657 nucleotides long. RefSeq lists it as uncharacterized. Lineage: Eukaryota; Viridiplantae; Streptophyta; Magnoliopsida; Arecales; Arecaceae. The record is from RefSeq and is a predicted model, not a curated record.
GCUAGAUUUGCUAGGCCUCGUAGCGUUGUUCUUCACGAAAACGUGUUACUGUUACGAUGCUUCGAGACUUAAUCGCGUAUAAAUUAAGGACGGCGAGGCGCAGCUGCGUUGGCUGCUACUUCUCAUCCUCUCUCUUCGCACCGUUUUCGGUGCCCUCCGAGGCUCUGACGGCAAGAUGACCACUUCAAGGCGCCUACCAGACAGGAAAGUUGCAAAAUUUCAGAAAAAUAUAAUGAAGAGGGGGUCUGUUCCCGAGACAAUGGUUAAAAAGGGAAAUGACUAUCCUGUUGGGCCAAUUCUGCUUGGGUUCUUUAUCUUUGUGGUCAUUGGAUCAUCUAUAUUUCAGAUAAUCAGGACUGCUACGAGCGGUGGGAUGGCCUAAAGCAAAUGACGGACAAACUCCUCAAGUUGGUGGUUGAUAGUACAAGUUUAAACCUAAUGUAAACUCUAUAUGCAAAGAAAUGUUAGGGAGAAGCUCUGUGAUGUCGUCUUGUUUCCGUUCCUGACAAUAUCAGGUUUGGAUAAAAUAGUUAAAGGUGCCUUUCCACUCCAACUCUAUCGGUGUUGCUUACCCUAGUCUCUCCUCUCAUAUCUUCAGUUAUAUAUUCUGCUAUUUAAACAUAAUAACAGGAGAAUGAUAACAUUUUUAUCAAAAAA